RNAcentral lists this ribosomal RNA (589 nucleotides) under uncultured bacterium. RNAcentral describes it as "bacterial SSU rRNA". It matches the Rfam family "Bacterial small subunit ribosomal RNA", at positions 338 to 916 of the family's 1533-position model. The record is from RNAcentral.
CCUACGGGAGGCAGCAGUAGGGAAUCUUCCGCAAUGGACGAAAGUCUGACGGAGCAACGCCGCGUGAGCGAUGAAGGCCUUCGGGUCGUAAAGCUCUGUUGUUAGGGAAGAACAAGUGCUAGUUAAAUAAGCUGGCACCUUGACGGUACCUAACCAGAAAGCCACGGCUAACUACGUGCCAGCAGCCGCGGUAAUACGUAGGUGGCAAGCGUUGUCCGGAAUUAUUGGGCGUAAAGCGCGCGCAGGCGGUCCUUUAAGUCUGAUGUGAAAGCCCACGGCUCAACCGUGGAGGGUCAUUGGAAACUGGGGGACUGGAGUACAGGAGAGGAAAGUGGAAUUCCCAGUGUAGAGGUGAAAUUCAUAGAUAUUGGGAGGAACACCGGUAGCGAAGGCGGCUUUCUGGCCUGAUACUGACGCUGAGACGCGAAAGCGUGGGGAGCAAACAGGAUUAGAUACCCUGGUAGUCCACGCCGUAAACUAUGGGCACUAGGUGUAGGAAGUGUUGACCCUUUCUGUGCCGAAGCUAACGCAUUAAGUGCCCCGCCUGGGGAGUACGGUCGCAAGACUGAAACUCAAAGGGAAUUGACGG